CGGCACGGGUGAGUAACACGUAUCCAACCUGCCGUCUACUCUUGGACAGCCUUCUGAAAGGAAGAUUAAUACAAGAUGGCAUCAUGAGUUCACAUGUUCACAUGAUUAAAGGUAUUCCGGUAGACGAUGGGGAUGCGUUCCAUUAGUUUGUUGGCGGGGUAACGGCCCACCAAGACUACGAUGGAUAGGGGUUCUGAGAGGAAGGUCCCCCACAUUGGAACUGAGACACGGUCCAA
This 236-nucleotide ribosomal RNA is filed under the name uncultured bacterium. Its description in RNAcentral is "partial 16S ribosomal RNA". It matches the Rfam family "Bacterial small subunit ribosomal RNA", at positions 100 to 334 of the family's 1533-position model. The record is from RNAcentral.